RNAcentral lists this ribosomal RNA (395 nucleotides) under Clostridioides difficile. RNAcentral's name for it is "partial 16S ribosomal RNA". The stretch from base 169 to 395 matches the Rfam family "Bacterial small subunit ribosomal RNA", at positions 1 to 236 of the family's 1533-position model. Lineage: Bacteria; Bacillati; Bacillota; Clostridia; Peptostreptococcales; Peptostreptococcaceae. The record is from RNAcentral.
UUUUAUUUGAGAGUUUGAUCCUGGCUCAGGAUGAACGCUGGCGGCGUGCCUAACACAUGCAAGUUGAGCGAUUUACUUCGGUAAAGAGCGGCGGACGGGUGAGUAACGCGUGGGUAACCUACCCUGUACACACGGAUAACAUACCGAAAGGUAUGCUAAUACGGGAUAAUAUAUUUGAGAUUUGAUCCUGGCUCAGGAUGAACGCUGGCGGCGUGCCUAACACAUGCAAGUUGAGCGAUUUACUUCGGUAAAGAGCGGCGGACGGGUGAGUAACGCGUGGGUAACCUACCCUGUACACACGGAUAACAUACCGAAAGGUAUGCUAAUACGGGAUAAUAUAUUUGAGAGGCAUCUCUUAAAUAUCAAAGGUGAGCCAGUACAGGAUGGACCCGCGG